ACUUUGGUUGGCAAAGCACUUCUGUCAUUUUUUUAAUGAUCUCUGUCACCCUCCACAGCGAUUUCCCAUGCAGGGAAAGUUAGCACGGCCCCUCGCUGAGUUACCCGAAAGUGCCUUCUUUAUGCCAUUCCUUUUUCCUUUGGAGCUUGUAACUCUUGUUGAGUGGCUGGUAAUCAGACUGCAGAGAAGCAGGAGAGAUGGGUCGGUAGGCUGUAGCCACAGCAUGAGGGCUAUCGGCCCCCCCAGGCCGGGGCAGCCAUCACCUGUCGGAAGCACCUGUGGCUGCUCAGCUGGCUCUGUGCUCUCCAUCCACCACCGUGGCACCUCAGACAGACCAGCUGUGGUGAAGCGGAGAGCCAGGGCAGGCCUCGGCUACCAGGGCCCUCCCCUCAGCCGUGCUGUGUCCCCAGCAAAGAAGGCAGUGAGCGGCAGCUCUGCUGCUGCCCCAGCGUGACCACAAACCCUCCGCACACCACCUCCUCGUCCUGCCCUCCUGCUGGCAGAGGCCCAGGUCUGGAUCAGUGGCUCAGCAGUUACACGGCUGUGUCCUGGCGGGGCUGGAGCUCUGGCCCCUUGCAGCCCACCCAGCCAGCAGCUGUCCCCAUGCAGAGGUGACAAGGAGUGCUGGCUUGUGCAACCGAGCUCCAGCCACAGUGUGUGCCUGCAGCUGACACGCAGGACAAGGCACACCCAGUGAGAAGCAGAAAGUUCAUCCUGGCUCCAGCCAAGCUCACAGUCUUCAUGGGGUUACUGUCAACACUAGCUGGUGGAGCUCAUUUGAGCAGGGAAAAACGACGAGCAAAACUUAGAGGAGGGGCAGAGCCAAAUCCGUCAGCUCUGUCCAGAGCAGAGUUAGGUAAAACUGCAGUUUCUUCAGCUCCUUCAUCCCCUUAUUCCUAGCGGAAGGACACAAAGAAAACAGACUGUGACGGCAAACCUGAUCUUGUAUCACUCUGGCACUGCAUUUCAGCUGUCAGGUGCUAGCAGAAAUCAUUGGAAUUCAUGUGUAUGUGACUGUGAAUCCUUUUUUUGUGUACAUGGAAGGAACACCCCGGUAUCUCCACCCGAUCCUGAAGCUAACCUCCUUCUGCUCUGAGAUUUCCAUGUAAGUUUAUACGGCUGUUCUUCCUAAUUGCUGAAAGGCUUUUAUUUAUCACCCCCCGCUGUGUCUUCACACAGGAGUGUGUGAAUUCUUUCUGUCUCCUCCCUUCCGAGUGCACUAUAUGCUUUCGAGGCUGCAGAGCACUCCCUGCCCCAAGAAAUACCACAGCUUGCCCUUCAGGUGAUCCCUUUGGGUUAUUCCACCCCAGCCCCUGGCAGAGACUACUAUUUCAGAAUGUUGCUAAACCAACACCAUUUUUCUGCAAGCUCCCCUCAUCAAUCCAGGAGGCUUGGAGGAACAGUUGCUCCAUCUCUGGAUCAAGAUAACUUCUGACAUCAUGUAAUGUUUUAUAAAUACUUGAGGCAGGUUUUUCAGGAGGGGAGGCACACUACCCAUUAUUAAGUUCACAGGCAGUCAGCUCUGUCUGAGUUUACUCAGGCAUUUAGAAACUUUUGAAGUUUUACUUCAGAACUCAAAUUUCACUUUUCAGUAGAUGCAGGACAUUCUUAGCAGUUUGGUAUGAUCACUAGCACAGUCACAUCCACACCAAAAUCACAUGAUUUCAUUUCUUAGUUAUGUGAGUGCAACUAGAUACCCCAACACCAUCCAUCUACCAUGUACCACACUCCUUUCGUAUCUCUGUACAUGCAGUCCUGGUUCCUUUUGGGACGUUUUUAGCAAGGUGGCAAGCUGUGGUGCCAAGGUAUAAAGUGCACAUGAAGUGCAGAGCAGUUCAUCAGCACAACUGGUGGUAUGGCCACAGAUCACGUUCCAAAGUGGACUGAACUGUGUUGUGUAUACACCAGAGAGAAAAAUCCCAAGCCACUGAGAAUACUGUUAAAUAAAUAAAGUUAUAUUUAUUUAUUUGACUCAAGAAAAGGUAGUGACUAAAAUACUGAGAGAGAUCACAGUGACAACGAAAUAAAUAAAACUGUAAUAAUCAGUGAGUCCAGCUUCCCUCCUACUAAGUGGUCGAAUGGGGCAAGCAAAACAAGUUCUUGAGCUCCAUGGUAAUCACAAUUGAAAUAACUAGCUUUGGAGCAUGCGAGAGAGGAGGCUAUUCUUAGCCAUGCCAUAGCUACUGUAGGCGAGCUGGCUAGAGAGGGAGCUGCAGCCAAAGCAGCUGUGAGUGUGGUGUGCAGUGCUGUACUUAUUUGAAAGCAAAGCUGUUUCUUUAUUGAGAAUGCACAGAAACAACUGAGGAGAAACCAGCUGUUUUAGAAUACUUUAGGAAAUAGGUGAAUUAGAUCUGACUGAUAGUGAUAACUGAAAUAAUGAAUGAAAGACAAAAGUUGCAUCAGGGAAUUCUCAGACAUCUUUCAUCAUGACAGAACCAAAAGCCAUGCAAGAUAUGGAAAGUGAUAUGGAAAGAGAUUUUUCUUUCAAGAUAAGGAAAGAUCUUUCUUGUUUUGGCAAAUUGUUCCCAGUCAGAGGAGCAGGAGGCUCAGCUGCAGAGCAGGUUCUUGCUUGCACGAGGCUGAGGGAAGUUGCUCAGACUUUGUACUCACAAGUAUUUUUUUCAGUUUGUGUGUAAUAUGUGAAAGAAAUAUUACUGAGACCUUACUAGUACUCAAGAAAGGACAAUCAAAUGCUCAAAACAGGUCAUGAGCUUAUCUACAGUGAUAUUAGCUAGGAUAAAAACCUUAAGAGAUUUAAAUGCUUAUGAUUCACUUCAUAUAUAAGCACUGACUGAUGAGACUGAAGGAAAUAUUUCCCUUUAGGGCAGGCUUUUCCAUAAUUAACCAUUACAGCCACAUUUCUUCUGGUCCAGGAUAUCAGACUACAGAGAGAGCUGAGUGAUCCAGGGUGCAUCUUCCUGCAAGGCAAUCCCAGCUCUCAGGCGCACCUACUGCUUACACACAGUCCAUUUUUGUUUUUCAUCACACAGAUGCUUUGUUUUCCCCCACUUAUUUCUUUAUCUCCGUUUAAAGCUUCUUCCCAAGUAACAUAGCUGAAAAACUUCCAGUCAUUGGGAACACUGAUCUGAUGUUACCUGUAAAUAGACAGCAAUAUACACAAGUGCUCCUUGAUUGUAUGCAUGUUUGUUGUUAUUGAAGGACAUACUGUGGGCUAUGCAGAAUAUUAUUUCAAGAGGGACUCCCAGUUAAACUGAAAAACAAACAAACAAACAAACAAACAAAAACAAAACAAAACCACCUAUUUCUGGCACUGUGGAAUUCCUUGGUACAGUCUCUGGCCUGCUUUGGGCAGAACCUUGCUUCAACCAGUUGGUGACACAUGGAGCAGCUCUGUGCAUUCUGACUGAGGGAAACCAACAUUCACAGCAGUAGCGUGAUCUGUAACAAAUAAUCUGUAACACAAAGGCAUUGAAAGUUAAAAUCAACUCCCCUUUCUUUUGACAGACCUUUAUGUGCCUUCCACUGGAAAUCCUGAUGUUUGCAGUUAAAACAGAAAUGUCUAAGAAGUAUACUUUUGUCAGUAUCUUUCUUGACUAGAGGCUAAAAUUGAGUACAGUGUGUAACCGUGAUGCAAUAAAGAGGCUUCAGGAAAGAAAAGAGCAUGAGAUGUGUAUGUUAUAGAUGUAAAUAUCACUGGCAGAGCUGUGCUGCAGAAUAAAUUGAAAAGCUUAUAAUGGGUUUCUGUCAAGAGGUUGCAUAAUAGUUAGAAAGGCAAUACACAGUUCAAAUUCACAGUUCAAGUCUAGAAAUGGCAGCAGAUGGAAAAGUAUUGAUUCAUAUUAGUGACAGUAAAAAAUAAAGGAAAUAAUUGAGCUACUUCAGCUGGUUUCAUGCUGAAAGAACAGUGCUCCUUUUACAGGUGCUCCUUGCUACUGGGUGUCAGGGUGACAGCUGUAGAGAUGCCUGUAUAUCAACUACUGAUUUACAUCUUUGAGCUCUGAGGGCCAGAUAAGUUAAUUUUAAUACCUAUCAAUGCUGAAUAUGAUGAAUCUGUAUUCAGCUAAAGCAACUGAAAGCAGAGUCAUGUCUUA
Non-coding RNA from Meleagris gallopavo (turkey), 4052 nucleotides. The record is from RefSeq and is a predicted model, not a curated record. NCBI's taxonomy places the organism in Eukaryota, Metazoa, Chordata, Aves, Galliformes, Phasianidae.